This 296-nucleotide ribosomal RNA is filed under the name uncultured Glomeromycotina. RNAcentral describes it as "partial 25S large subunit ribosomal RNA". The record is from RNAcentral. Lineage: Eukaryota; Fungi; Glomeromycota.
UGAAAGGGAAACGAUUGAAGUCAGUCGUACCGACGAGAAAUCAACUUAUCGUGUGCGAACUUGUGGGCGUGCGUGAGUUUCGGCCUCGCUGUUUGCAUGUUUGUGCGUUUUGGGUGUACUUUUUCGUAUGGUAGGCCAACGUCAGUUUCGAUUAUCAUAAAAUGACCGGCGGAAUGUAGCUUCGAUUUCGGUUGAAGUGUUAUAGCCUCUGGUAGAUGUGGUGAUUGAGACUGAGGAUUGCAACGAAUACCCUUUGGGCUAUCCGUCUGGCCUCUGAAAGUUGCUCAGGUGCCGAA